ACGCUCGACACCUACGGGAGGCAGCAGUGGGGAAUAUUGCACAAUGGGGGGAACCCUGAUGCAGCGACGCCGCGUGAGUGAAGAAGUACUUCGGUAUGUAAAGCUCUAUCAGCAGGGAAGAAAAUGACGGUACCUGACUAAGAAGCCCCGGCUAACUACGUGCCAGGAGCCGCGGUAAUCUGAGCGGGCUGGCAAGGCC
RNAcentral lists this ribosomal RNA (199 nucleotides) under uncultured bacterium. Its description in RNAcentral is "partial 16S ribosomal RNA". It matches the Rfam family "Bacterial small subunit ribosomal RNA", at positions 328 to 539 of the family's 1533-position model. The record is from RNAcentral.